This 85-nucleotide transfer RNA is filed under the name Peptococcaceae bacterium. Its description in RNAcentral is "tRNA-Leu". It matches the Rfam family "tRNA". Rfam says of the family: Transfer RNA (tRNA) molecules are approximately 80 nucleotides in length. Their secondary structure includes four short double-helical elements and three loops (D, anti-codon, and T loops). Further hydrogen bonds mediate the characteristic L-shaped molecular structure. tRNAs have two regions of fundamental functional importance: the anti-codon, which is responsible for specific mRNA codon recognition, and the 3' end, to which the tRNAs corresponding amino acid is attached (by aminoacyl-tRNA synthetases). tRNAs cope with the degeneracy of the genetic code in two manners: having more than one tRNA (with a specific anti-codon) for a particular amino acid; and 'wobble' base-pairing, i.e. permitting non-standard base-pairing at the 3rd anti-codon position. Lineage: Bacteria; Bacillati; Bacillota; Clostridia; Eubacteriales; Peptococcaceae. The record is from RNAcentral.
GUGGGUGUGGCGGAAUUGGCAGACGCGCCGGAUUUAGGUUCCGGUAUCGCGAGAUGUGCAGGUUCAAGUCCUGUCACCCACACCA